AAUCUGAUUCUAAAAGGUCACUGCUCUGUGGAGCAGUUCUACUCUGCACACAUGGGGUUGCCAUGAGUCAGAAUUGACUUGACAGCAACUGACAACAAAAACAAGUGUGGAAACAGCCAUGGACAACAUGUAAACAAAUGGACGCGGGUGCGUCCCAGUAAAGCUUAAUUUACAAAAACACGUGGCGGGCCAUAUUUGGCUCGCGGGUUGCACCCCUUAACUAGAUGAUCUGAGGAGUGUGAAUCCAAAGAGUUGUGCUAAACCACAGCAGCUGACUGUAAAUAUUCUUGAACUUUCUAGGCAAAGCUCUUGCCUUCAUUUCUUUCCAGUGUUGAAGAUAAGCAGUAUUUUCCUGGCAGAGACAGUGUGCUUAUAGGGAAAUCUGUGGCCUCAGAGUUUGUGUUUGGUUAUAAUAUUUCUCUACAAAGUAUGAGUGGGGAGAGCCCUCCCACAUAUUUUCCCCUCUAGCUCCUGCUUCCUAGUAACUGUGCACCUUCUCUAGAGUCUGUGGGUGGUGCAAACGGUUAGUGUACUCGGCUGCUAACCAAAAGGUUGGAGGUUCGAGUCCACCCAGAGGCCUGGUGAUCUACUUGCAAAAAAAUCAGCCAUUAAAAAUCCUAUGGAGUGUAGUUCUACUCUGACACACAUGGGGCUGCCAUGAACUGGAGUUGACUCGAUGGCAACUGGUACCGGUGCAGCUUCUCUACGUAACUCUGGAACUACUUUGUGGUGAGAAAACUUGGAAUUUGGGAGACUGGACUGACCCUUUGCUUAUCACUCAAGUAGGACCUUUGUAAUAUGAUAUAUCUAUCUAGAAUAAGUGGUUUCCUAGAAAAGAUAUUAAAGAGAUAGUCUAGUUUCUUGGAUUUGGUGGUGUGGUGUGUAGGGGAAGAGUGUUUCUUUUUCUUUUGAUAUGAUGGGGUCAAAAGAACAAGACAAGUGUGCUUUGGUAGUGUAGAAUGGACCUUAUUUUAUCUUUAUUUUUGUAAGUAUGAAUAGAACAUGAUACUCCACAAAUUGUAGCAAGGGUCAAGCCUGUCUGUGCUGAUCACAUGGUUGCUGAACUCUGAUGCAUGUCAGCUUUGGGUACCAUCAAGGACCCACGUCCUGCACAUCUCUCUGUUCUUCUAUCUUUUGUGUUUCAGCAAUGGCUCCCCUCAUGGUUGCAAUAUGGCUGCCUCUGCUCCAAGCAUCAUGUCCUCUCAGGAGCUCAUCUCAGCCAAGAGAGAAAGGGGCAGGUGGCAAAAAGGUCUCCUCCACAUGUGUUUAUAUUUUUUGAGGGGAGGGAAAUUUUCUAAGAAGGGCCCUUGCAAACUUUCUCUUACAUAGCAUCACCCAGAAGUGUGUCACAGGUCCAGCCCUAAACCAAUCACAGUGAAAGGGAGUGGAGUUACUAUGAGCGGCUUAGAAAAAUCAUAGCCCAUCUCCUGGGGCUGGAACAAGUGAAGAGGGAGUAUGGCCACUGGGUAGGCAGGGUCUGCCAUAUCUCCUUUCUUGUCCCUCUUUAUUUUUCAUGGAUAGAGAACGUGUUGAUUUUGUUCACCAGUUCCUAGCACAGUGCCUGUCAUAAAAUAGGCACUCAGUAUACAUUCAAAAAUUUUUUUUUUAGUAUUUUGUAUAUUUGCUGGGGACUGAGUAAAGCAAUGAAUGAAUAAAUAAUGAAAAGAAGGUCUUUCUUUUUGCCUUUUCCCCGUUGACUCGUCUGCUUCUGUCAUUUUUCUGGGUCUGAUUUAGGUGUCAAUGGAGCUAUUCUUCCUGUUUGAAGAUGUCUCUUCCUUGAUUUGGUAACACAUUAAGAAGUAUGACCCACCAUACUGUCCUUUUUCCAGCCUUGGGGAUGGGUUGAGAGAUCCCAUGUGGUCCAGGAUAGAACAGUGUGUGUGAGGCUGAUGGAGCACUCAAGGACUGUGUGCACAGAAAACAAAAAAUCUUUUGGGUUGAUUGGACUGAAUAUGUCACUCCAAAUGGUCACUCCAGGUUGCCAGAACUGAUUUUGUCCUACCAUUGAGUAUGAAAUAAGGAGUUACAUAGUGUGGCAACAUGGCGUGCUUGCGGGACCAGGAGCCAGGUGAGGGCAAUCUUUACCACACCUCUGCACUAACACACCGGCGCUUGGGGCAAGUCACCUUGCCAUUCUGAGCUACCUAAUCUCAAAGUGAGCAUUCAAACAUUCACACAUAUCGUUUAGCUUGCUAUUGCAGAGUGAAAACUGAAAUGAUUUUGUUGUGGUAAUUAUUGUUAUGGUUCCUCACUGUGGACUGAGAGUUCUUUCAGGAGUCAGCAGUUCUUUGGUCAAGGAGUAUGAGAAAGAUUGUUCUUCUCAGUUCCUUCCAACCCUCCAAAUAAAAUUCAAAUGAAAGGUAGGAGGAGACAUUUAAAAAGCUCUCUGACUUGAUCACCUAGAAGUCUGAAUGGACCAAUGUGGAAGUUUGGGUCCUCUGAGAAGCACACACUAAGAAGGGAUUAGACGUGCAUGAGAUUUAUUGAAGGAAACACCUGUGAAGGAAAAGAGGAAGGAUGUAGAGGAGGCAAGGAGAGCCUUCAUGUAUCAAUGUAGGUCUCACACCUGUGAAAGGAGAGGAGGAAGGAAGAGUGAGGAGAAAGAGAAUCAGAGGCUCAGUUCUAGGCUGGGGGUUUUGGUCAGGCCAGUGGGGAGUCCUUGAACCAAAAGUGCCCAUCAGAGCAGUCGUGUGUCCUGCAGGAAUGGGCCUAUCCUUGUCAUGCUUAGUCAUGCCUGGUAGCAGCCCACAGGAAGUGUGGCUUUCAUGCGAAUGCAGUCCUGAAUCCAGCAGCUGUAGCGUCCAGUCAACUAUCUUUUUCACAGCAGGAGAUCAGAGUGGCCUAUUUUCAUGACCACCUCACUAACUCAUCAGAGAUUUUCUGUUUGAAACACAGAUCUUAAUGACUUGAAAAACAAGCAAGAACAUUUGUGAUUAUAUAACUUUUUGCCCCUCAAAUCAACUUCCAUUCCCCCCUUUGACUUUCACUUCCCCCGCUUUUUCAGCUAGGCCAAUCAUGUUGAAAACCCCACCCAGGUUUGUAGAGUUCCUCAUUUGAAAAUUAAAAAAAAGAAAACAACAAAACUGCUUGUGACUAAUCCAGAUGAACUUCCUUUUUUGACCUUUUCAAUGAGUUGUGAUUUACUUCCUCGGGUUCACACAUUUCCCCCUUCUUUGCUGAUCAUCCCUUUGGCUGGGAAAAGUCUUUGAGGUCAGUUGGCUCCUCUGUCUUCAAGUCUGAUCAGAAUGAACCCAGUUACUCAAAGAGUUCAGGCAAGAAGCAGAAAAUCCCAAAAGGUGUAUGAUGGAAGGCAACAAUUCUGAGGAUGAUAAGAGGGUAUCAUAGGAGGUGUCUGCAUGGUUUGCUGAACAUUUAACAUUCUUGAAACCUGUCAUCAUCACGGGCGCUGCCUGGGAGUUCACAGAGGGCCUGCACUAAGUAAGACUUGGCAUUCAAGAGUCACAAAAAUGGCUGUUAUGAAAUGUUUGAACAGUGGGUGGGUUCUUUCAACAGAAAAUAAGUUGUUUUCCCAUUGCAAAGUAAGUUGUGCUGAUGGGGAAUGUGGCAGAGACUAGAUAAAUGCUCACCAAACUCAUUUCAUCUUCUUCCUAGGCGUACAACCAGAAGAAAUUUCCCAGCCUCCUUUUCAGUUAGGUGUGGUCAUGUGACUGAGUGGUAGCUAAUAGCAAGUGGGCAGAGGCGGUGAAUGCCACUUCAGGUCUGACCCUUCCCUGCCACAAGACUCUCAUAUUCUCUCUUAUCCUUUGUCUGCCGACUGGAUGCAGAGGAUCCAGUGGAGAAAUCCAAGGCUUAGAAGAUGGUGGAGCCACUGAAUGAAGAAGCCAGGGUCCCUAAAUCACUGUGAAGGACAGAACACUCUGCUGACCCACACUGAGCUGCAAACUGAGUGAGAAGAGGCCGAGGGAUAAUUAACUCCCCCUGGAGACGCGGAGAGAGAGGUACAUUCAAGGGUUGCUUCUCAGAGGGGACAUAUGACCUGGGCUUUGAAGAAUGAAGAAUAACAAGGUAGGUAUGAACCCAAGCAGUUGUGCUGGGAGCAUUCCCGGAGAUAGGGUGGAGGGGGGAGAGACAGACAGAAGAGCAAGGAUGGGGCUGAUACCAGUUUACUAUUCCUUAUCUGUAAUUCUAAAAUCCACAAAGCUGUGAAAACCACAAUGUUGAACUAAUUUGGAGCCAAAUCUGACCUGACUUAAACUUAUUUCACACUAAAACCUGCCCUGAACUGACAUGAAGUUAUCUAUAAAACAAAACC
Molecule: long non-coding RNA, 4273 nt
Organism: Trichechus manatus latirostris (Florida manatee)
Lineage: Eukaryota; Metazoa; Chordata; Mammalia; Sirenia; Trichechidae
Exons: 3
Source: RefSeq, a predicted model, not a curated record